GACGAACGCUGGCGGCGUGCCUAAUACAUGCAAGUUGAGCGAUGAAGCUUUGUGCUUGCACCAAUUUGAAGAGCAGCGAACGGGUGAGUAACGCGUGGGGAAUCUGCCUUUUAGCGGUGGACAACAUUUGGAAACGAAUGCUAAUACCGCAUAACACCUUUAAACAUAAUUUUUACGUUUGUAAGAUGCCAUUCCAUCACUCACAGAUAAUCCCGCGUUGUAUUAGCUAGUUGGUGAGUUAAAGGCUCACCAAGGCGAUGAUACAUAGCCGCCCUGAGAGGGUGAUCGGCCACAUUGGGAAGGAGAGAGGGCGCAAACUACUACGGGAGGCAGCAGUAGGGAAGCUUCGGCAAUGGACGAAAGUCUGACCGAGCAACGACGCGUGAGUGAUGAAGGUUUUCGGAGCGUAAAACUCUGUUGGUAGAGAAGAACGGUGGUGAGAGUGGAAAGCGCAUCAAGUGACGGUAACUACACAGAAAGGGACGGCUAACUACGU
RNAcentral lists this ribosomal RNA (496 nucleotides) under uncultured bacterium. RNAcentral describes it as "partial 16S ribosomal RNA". It matches the Rfam family "Bacterial small subunit ribosomal RNA", at positions 28 to 506 of the family's 1533-position model. The record is from RNAcentral.